This is a long non-coding RNA of Amborella trichopoda, 1059 nucleotides long. RefSeq lists it as uncharacterized. Lineage: Eukaryota; Viridiplantae; Streptophyta; Magnoliopsida; Amborellales; Amborellaceae. The record is from RefSeq and is a predicted model, not a curated record.
UCGACGGACUGCUUUCCUGAUAUUCCUCGCAAAGCAGAUUGAUUUACUGAUAUUUCCAUUGAAAUAAGUUUCUCUCUUGUUUUACUUUUUCCGAGGGAGAAAGACAGAUGGGGUGUUAUGCUUCGGCCUGGUUUUCUCAAAACCUUUGGAGAACGAGAGUCUAUGGAUUUCUGAAUUGUCUUAUUCUGACAGAGAAAGAUGAAUCUCUUACUCCUGUUCUUUCUAUGUUUCAUGGCAUGCAAAUGUUAUUCUCUAAUGUUCAUGAAAUUGCCAGUGUGAGACAAUGUAUCUUAAACGGUCUUAUGCUGAAAACGAGGUUUCAGCAUCAAGACCUCAAAUGGGUGGCCUGCAAUAUUGGAAUGUCAUGUUCUCUGAUAGAAUUGUGAGUGGCUUCUCUGUUUGCAAUUGGAAAUCCCAAACCCAAAAGGAAUUAAUUUUCUAUCGAAGGUAGAAUUCCAGUGUGUGUCCGAUCUUUGAUUCGUCGAUCGAGAAAUGGAAGUUGCACUAGUUGAAUUGGAUGCACUGUUGAUGAAGGGCUGGUCCUACUUGCUAUGGACUUGACCUUUUGAUCGCUUCUGACAUGGAGAGAGAAGAAUGGGCACUACUGUAAGCUCUGUCUAAUGCAACUAAGUAGAUAUUUGCGAGCACAGGUCUGGGUUUUAUUGCAGGUGCAAUUGAUGAAUGCAGAUUUGAAGCAAUUGUGAGUACAAGAUUUGGAGGAAUUGGGUUUAGAGAAUGAUUUUUUCUUGUUUCCCCAUAUAUGAAUUUGUAAGAUAUUAUUUUGCGUUUCAAUGUUGGCAAUGGAGUGUAUUUGAAGAUUUGGCCUUUGCAAAACAAGAACAUUCAUCCGAGAAUGUUAAAAAGACUAGCCAAUUAUGUGAAAUUGGUGCUCUUGCUAAAAUUAGCUGCACUUCAGUGUUUCAGCCAAUCCCAUUGACGACGAGAAAAUAUGUUUCGUUAGGCAGCUUGAUUUGUAAAUGUAUCCAUAGAAGGGAAUGUUGUAUAUCUGAUCAGUUCAUGUUGAUUAGAUGCUGCAGCCUGAAUGUUUUUUUGGAAAGA